GAGGUUUUAUCUUAAUUAAAGAGUCUGAGUUGCAUUUAGAUGAUGUGGGAUAGUAGCCUACAAGCCUUA
Molecule: transfer RNA, 69 nt
Filed under: Heleophryne regis (royal ghost frog)
Lineage: Eukaryota; Metazoa; Chordata; Amphibia; Anura; Heleophrynidae
Description: tRNA-Ala
Source: RNAcentral